AGUGAGCCAUAGUGAGUCGGCAAAGUUGCUGCCCUGUUCUAAUGGCCUAUCUGAGAGAAAGGUAGAAGCUGCAUUUUGUGGCUCUAUUUUCUGUCACUUAUGAAUUGAUUUUGAAAACGAUUUGUUCUGAUGAAAUGUAGCCUUAUGAUUCUAGUUUCCAUCACCACCAACCAUUCUCAAUUUUAAUUGUAUUGAGUGAUAUAUGGUUCAAUUCCAAACUGCGAC
RNAcentral lists this long non-coding RNA (225 nucleotides) under Coffea arabica (coffee). Its description in RNAcentral is "long non-coding RNA (CARA_LNC000619)". The record is from RNAcentral. Lineage: Eukaryota; Viridiplantae; Streptophyta; Magnoliopsida; Gentianales; Rubiaceae.